CUCAUUGUAGUUUUAAUUCAUCUUAUGUCUGAUGAUUAGUGAUGCUGAGCAUUUUUAAAAUAUGCUUAUUGGCUAUUUAUGUGUCUUCUUUUGAAAACUGUUCGUGUCCUUUGUCCACUUUUUAAUGAGGUUAUUUGUUUUUUACUUGUUGAAUUGUUUGAGUUCUCUAUGGGUUCUAGAUAUUAGUCCUUUGUUGGAUUCAUGGUUAGCCAAUAUUUUCUCCCAUUCUGCAGGUGGUCUACUUACUCUGUUGAUUAUGUCUUUUCCUGUGCAGAAGCUUUUUAGGUUUAAUUAAGUCCUAUUUCUCUAUUUUUGUUUCUGUUACAUUUGCUUUUGAAGUAUUAGUCGUGAAUUCUUUGCCUAAGCCAAUAUUCAACAGAGUUUUUUGGCCAGGUGUAGUGGCUCUUGCCUGUAAUCCCAGCACUUUGGGAGGCUGAGGUGGGAGGAUUGCUUGAGCCCAGGAGUUCAAGAGCAGCCUAGGCAGCAUAGUGAUACCCUGUCUCUACAAAAAAAUUUUAAAAAUUAGCCAGGCAUGGUGGUGUGCACCUGUAGUUCUAGCUACUCAAGAGGCUGAGGCAAGAUAAUCGCUUGAGUCCAGGGAGUUGAGGUUGCAGUGAACCAUGUUUGUGCCACUGCACUUCAGCCUGGGUGUGAGAGAGAGACUCCAUCUCUUUAAAGAAAAAGAGUUUUUCUUAGGUUUUCUUCUAUAGUUCUUAUAGUUUCAGAUCUUACAUUUAAGUCUUUAAUCCAUUUUGAGUUGAUUUUUGGAUAUGGUGAGAGAUAUAGCUCCUAUACUUAUGCAUAUGGCUAUGCAAGUUUUCCAGCACCCAGCAUCAUUUAUUGAACAGGAUGUCCUUUCCCCAUUGUAUGUUCUUGCUGCCUUUGUGGAAGAUCAGUUGGCUCUAGGUAUGUGGCUUCAUUUCUGGGUUUUUUAUUCCAUUCCAUUGAUGUAUAUAUCUGUUUUUAAACCAGUACCAUACUGUUUUGGUCACUAUAGCCUUGUAGUAUAAUUUGAAGUUAGAUAAUGUGAUGCCUCUAGAUUUGUUCUUUUUGCUUAGGAUUGCUUUGGUUAUUUGGGCUCUUUGGUCCCAUAUGAAUUUUAGCAUUUUUUUUUCCAAUUUUGUAAAAAAUGAUGUUGAUAUUUUGAUAGGAUUUGCACUGAAUCUAUAGAUCGCAUUGGGCAGUAUGGUCUUCUUAACAAUAUUGAUCCCUCCAAUCCAUGAGCAUGGGAUAUAGAUGACACAAACAUUUGUGUCAUCUACAAUUUCUUUUAUCAAUGUUUUAUAAUUUUCUUCGUAGAGACCUUUUAUCUCCUUCAUUAAAUGUAUUCCUAAGUAUUUUAUUUUAUUUUUUAAUUAUUUUUGUAGCUGUCGUAAAUGGGGUUGAGUCCUUGAUUUGGUUCUCAGCUUGGUCAUUACUGGUGUAUAGAAAUGCUACUGAUUUUUGUAUGUUGAUUUUGUAUCCUGAAACUUGACUGAAUUCAUUUAUCAAAUCUAGUGAUAGUUGGAGGAGUCUUUAGGGUUUUCUAAGUAUAAGAUAAUAUCAUCAGCAAACAGAGAUAAUUUGACAUCCUCUUUUCCAAUUUGGAUGCCUUUUAUUUCUUUCUAGUGCCUGAUUUUCUGGGUAGAACUUCCAAUGCUUUGUUGAAUAGAAGUGGCAAAAAUGGGCAUCCUUGUCUUGUUUUAAUUCUUAGGGGAAAUACUUUCAAAUUUUCCCCAUUCAAUAUGAUGUUGGCCAUGGGUUUGUCAUAUAUGGCUUUUGUUGUUUUGUUGUUCUAUGCCUAGUUUGUUGAGAGUUUUUAUCAUGAAGGGAUUCCGAAUUUUAUCAAAUGCUCUUCUGCAUCUGUUGAGAUGAUCAUAUGGUUUUUGUUUUUAAUUCUGUUUAUUUGGUGAAUCAUAUUCAUUGAUUUGAAUAUAUUGAACCAUCCUUGCAUCCCUGGAAUAAAUCCACCUUGAUCAUAGUGCAUGCUAUGGUUUUAGAUGAUCUGACCAUACAUCUCAGUUGCUCAGAACAAUGUCCACAUGUUUCCUCUGUGCCAUUAUUAAGAUGGUCCCCUUCCCCUUUUAAAAGCAUCCUGGGACAAUAAAUUCUAUAGGCACUCUAGUUUUAGAGGUCCAAUAAAUAAAAAAUAAACUUAUGGUCUAUGUGUUAAAAAUAUUAGGGCAUGGCUUUCUAAGCAUGGCUUGAAAUCUGAGUUCUACACUAUUCCUAAUUAGUUCUUUGGCAAAUUCUGAUGCUAAGCCCAAAUAUUCCUGUUCUGAGGUCUCCUUUAUCCCUUUCAUAAAUGAUCCUGUGAGCUUUGGACUUUAGGGUUCAAAUUUAGCCUGGAGAAGACUUGUGAUUGUCUUUCAAGAAGUUGUUAGCUACUUUGUAAUUAACUCAACCUUCAAGGAUGGAGGUUGUAUUACUACCUGAAGUAGACUGUACACCAAUCUGUUGGUACACUCUGACUACCUGGAAAGGGUUGACAGAAUUAUAUAAGGCUACAUCACUAAAUGGGCAGAAUUUUAACACUGAGUGUAAUGCUCAGAAUCCAUGCUGGCAAGGCAGACUGAAUUAGCAUUAUAUUUGCUUGCAAAAAUGAAAAUAACCUGUCUUACAUAAUACUGACAAUAUUUUGCUGUAAUUCUGCCUUUUGAGCUUAGUGAAAUUCCUAUAACUUCUUUGCCAAGUUAUUUCCAAGCUAUAGGAAUGUAGACAUCUAUCUGUGUUACUAUUACUUUCAUAUACAAAUAGAAUUGCAUCUCAAGUUUACAACCUUAACUUUCAAAGUCCUUUACAUGUUAAGUUUUUUUUUUUUUUUUUUUUUUUUUACAUUGCCUUUACAAUUCACUUACAGUCUGUGAGGCCAACUUUGUUGUCAGGCCAGAUUAUAAUCAAGCUAUUCUUUGUUGAACCAAUAUGCCCUCUCAGGGAAUGAUCGUAAUCAAUCAAUGGUUUUACCAUUUAAAAAUUCCCUAUCAGGGAGUUUGAAUUAUUUUUCUUCCCUUUCAUUUUUGUUUAAGCUCUAUUGUUUUUUGAGCUAGAUAAUUUUCUUUGAGCUGGAAAAUUAUCCUAAUCUUGGUUAAUAAAUAUUAGACUAGUGCUAGUGAUACUACAUUAAUAGAGAAGAAUGUGCAAAUUAUGAUAUGCAAUUGGACUUAAUGAAGAAUAAUGGUGUAUUUAAGAGUGUUCAAAAAUUCAGAAUUUCCACAAAGCCUCUAUCUAAUUCUUUAAUCUUGGUGAAAUUAAACUGAGUAUUGAUAGUGAAGCAAUAAGGAAAAAUAUGAGGAUGUUAUAAUUCUUUUCAUGGAAAAUGUUUCAGAUCCAGAAUCAAAUCCUCACAUUUAGAUUUGACCUUGGGCAGUACCUCCUUUACUGGGCUGGCAAAAGGUUAAAUGAGUUAAUGAUUGUGAACUGCAUUGUUGCAGGUUGGAUUCUGCCAGCUUUGAUGGCUCUGACAGUGCUUCCAGUUCUGAUGGCCUAUUUCCAGAUUUUUAUCUUAGAGACAAAGAAACCUCGAUCUUGUCUAAAUCUCUGUUAUUGUGGAGUUUAAUUCUCUUGGAACCUAAUCCCAACUCAUAAAAGGUCUCAUCUACUCUUAUCAUAUAAUUUUUUUUAUUACUUGGCAUUUCAUAGAUCAUGAGUUCCAUGAUGGUAGAGAUCAUUCUUUUUGCUUGUAUAUGUCCUGUAGCCUCUGUCACUUAAAAAAGUUACUCAGUUUACAUUUUUAGUUGAAUAAUUUACCACAUAGUUCAUAUGUUUAAAGCAUGUAAAAGAAUUUUUUAUGUUGGAAAGUUUCAAGUUGUCAUAAAAGUAGAUAAAAUAGUUCAGUGGGUUCCCGUGUACUCAAUAUCCAGCUUCAACAAUUAUCAACUGAUGACCAACAUUGCUUUAUCUUCUCUUUCCCCUGCUGCCUACAUUUUUAAAAGACCAAUAUCAGACAUCGUAUAAUUUUAUCUGUAACUUUUUUACUAUGCACUUCUCACAAUAAGAAUCAAACAUAACCACAAUAACACAUUCGUACCUAUAAAAUUAACAGUAAUUUUUAAAUGUCAUCCAAUACUCAGUGCAUGUUCAAAUUAUCACUUAUCCCAAAAAUGUCAUAUGGUUUAAAAAUCAAUUUUGUUAAGGUAUGUCUUACACACAAUAAGAUCUGCCUAUUUUAAGAGUACAUUUAAAUGAGCUUUGACAAGGGUGUACACACCUAUAACCACCAUCAUAAUCAAAGAGAAUAUUUUGAUUCCACAAAAAGCUGCCUCAUCUUCCUGUAGUCAAUUCUACCUCCCUGCCCCAUCCUUAGCCCCAGGCAACAGUGAAUGUGCUUUUUGUUACAUUAUAUAUCACAAAUAUACCUGUAUGUGUGUGCGUGUGUACAUAUAUAUAAAAUAUACAUGUUAUUUUAUAUUUAUAUAUAUAGCCACUUAAAACUUUUCCUGCUUAUAAAUAAUUUUUAGCAAUUUGAUUAUGAUGUUAUUUGUGUUUAUCUAUCUUGGGUAUCAUUGAGCUUCUUGGAUCUGUGGGUUUAUCGUUUGCAUCAGAAAUGGCAAAUUUUCAGUCACGAUUUCAUCAAAAAAAUUUUUUUUGCCACCUUCUAUCUUCUUGGGCUCCAAUUACAUGUAUGUUUGACUGAUGGAUAUCAUGCCACAGGUCACUGAGUUUCUGUUUUUGUUUUUGUCUUUUCUCCUCUCUGCUCAUUAGUUGAAUAUUUUCUACUAUAGUGUCUUUGUGUUCACUGAUCUUUCUUUUGUAGCAUCUGAUCAACUGUUAUGAUUGUACAAUGAAUUUUUCCCUGCAGAACUUGUAUUUUUCUUUUCUAGAAUUUCCAUUUUAGGCUGGGCGUGGUGGCUCAUGCCUGUAAUCCCAGCACUUUGGGAGGCUGAGGUGGGCGGAUCACGAGAUCAGGAGUUUAAGGCCAGCCUGACGAAUAUGGUGAAAUCCCAUCUCUACUAAAAAUACAAAAAUUAGCCAAGUGUGGUGGCACACGCCUGCAAUCCUAGCUUCUCAGGAGGCUGAGGCAGAAGAAUCGCUUGAACCCGGGAGGUGGAGGUUGCAGUGAGCUGAGAUCGCACCACUGCACUCCAGCCUGGGCGACAGAGCGAGACUCCAUCUCAAAAAAAAAAAAAAAAUAAUAAUAAUAAAAUCAUUUUCUGCUGUUCCCAGCAUCUCUGUUAUUUAUCUCUGUUUCUUUUGACUGAUUUUUCCUUUUGCUAUGGGUCAUAAUUUGGUGAUUUUUUGCAUGUCUAAUAAUUUUUUGUUGGAUGCAGGACAUCAUGAGUUUCUGUUGUUUAGUAUUUAGAUACAGUUGUCUUCCUUAAAAAAUUCUGAAAUUUGUUUUGGCAGACAGGUAAGUUAUAUGUAAGUUAUAUGUUUACUGAUUAAUCUUUACUAGACUUGCUUUAAAGCCUUUUUAGAACAAUUCUAGAAUAGGCUGUUCUUCAGGGCUAAGUUAGCUCUAGUACUAAGGUUUGAUCCUUCUGAAAUCUCUACAUAUUGCUCUGAGUGUUCCAGAAGGUGUAUCUGCUCUGGCUCGUUAGAAUUUGCAUGCCUCUCAGCCUUGUGCAAGUCUGGGAAUGGUUUUGAUUAUAGUUCUUCCGUUCUUUAUCUAGCCUUGUGGAUCUUCCCCCUAUGAAUGUACAGAUUAAUAUUCAGCCAAUGACUCAAGGGGCCACCUCUGUAGAUCUCCGUAACUCUUUCUUUGCACAAUUCACUUGUCUCUGAACUUGGCUCUACCAAUUCCAGCUGGAUCAGCCUCUCCAAAGCCUGAUCUGUUUCUCUUCAACUCAGGGAGAUUGUGGUGCUUUUCCUGGCCUCCCCUGUCCCUUUCAUGCUGUUUAAAAGUCGCUGUCAGGCAGAAAUCCAGGACAGUUGUAAAACUCAGCUCCUUUGCUUUCUUUUCUCAGGAUCAUAGUCUUACAUUGUUUGAUAUCCUGUGUCUGAAAAAGAUGUUUUUAAACAUUUUUGUAUAAUUAUCUUUUAGUUUUGGAGGGGAAGAAAAUCCUAUACCAGUUUCUUCUUCAUGGUCAAAAAUCAAAAUCACGCAUUUUAAAAACCGUUUAUGCAUUUUGAAUCAGGACUCAAAGUAAGCAUGUUUAUAUUGGUCAGUGUGUCUUCCUACCUUUAUUUAAUAAGUAAUUAAGUCAAUCCUUUACCCUUCACUCUCUCUCUCUUUUUCUUUCCAUCCUGUUUUGUUGAACAAAACCUGAAAUGUUUGUACAGUUUCCAACAUUCUGGAUUUUACUGAUUGCAUUCCCAUGAUGUCUUUUAACAUAUUCCUCCACAUACAUUUCCUGUUAAUUGGUAAUUGGAUUUAGAGCCUUGAUCAUAUUCAGAUCAGAUUUUUUUUUAUAAAACUACAUUAAAGGUAUUGUUUGCUUUUCCAUCACAAAAGGAGCCCAUAUUGUCUCUCUUUUUGUAAUCUUAGCAGCUACUGAUGCUCCAUAACUAGAUCAAAGCACUGCUUUUAAUUUGCUAGUUUAUCAGACACUGGGCUUUAGCUGGGUUCAAUUUCUAGACUAUGCAAAUGGCACUAUUAUUUCUAGCUAUGCACUUGUUUUCAGAAUAUCAAUUACAAUGAUAAAUUGGAGCUCAAAUACAAAGUAGAUUUUUUUUAACUUGCUCAAGAAAAAGUUGGCUAAUUUUUACCAAUUGGCGGGAGGCCAGCCUCAAUUAUAUCAAUCCAUAUGUUACUUUCAACGUUAUGCUCCUUUCAAGGUUAUGCUCCAGCUAAAGUUGGGCUCAAGUGGUACUGCCAUGAGAGAAGGCACCCUUAGAUUGCCUUCAGUUAAACAAGAAUGGCUUUACGUAUUAGUCAUAAGACAGGGAUGCUUUUGUAGUGCUUAAGGGUAUGUACAAGCUGUUUGUAGUCUAAAUUUACUUAAGGACUUCCUUUCAUGCUAGUUUAUGGGGCUGAUUUAGGAACACAGGAUUUUCCAAGCAAAUGUGAGUGUCUGUCCCAGCUCUCGUACUAGUAAGCAUGGGAUUAUUUAUUUCUACACAGCACUUUCUCUAAUGCCCUUUCACAUCUUCUUCCUUAGGAUGUUUCUUUGAUACUAUCAGACUAAUUUUGUAAGACAUAGAAACUGGGGCUCAGAAGAUUCAGGGACUUGGAGAAGGUCAUUUAGCUAGGCUCCCUCCUUCAGUCUCCUGAUGGUGUCACGCCUGUGCCCCAUGCCCUGAAACACAGUGGGAAAGGUCUCUUUAGUCUCCCCACUCACCACACCUGUGCAGAAGAACCAGCCUGUAUGUUGACAUGUCUUCACUGGUCUGCUCAGUAAGUCGUGUGUGUAGGCAUACUCCCGAAAGUGGUUCUGAGCUGUGCGGGCAGUCUGUCUGGUUCCUCGUACUAAUCUACGGUAUCCCUUGUCCUUCUGGAAUGCGCCCAAGAUCUUUUGUCUAUUUGGUAAAGCACAAUAUUUGUUUCUCAAGCUCUGUGUUGUUUGUUUUUGGAGUAUUGUGGUAUUAGUAUUCCUUCCUCCACACACUCCAGGUACACCUUAGAGGGCAAUCUUUUUCUCUCCAAGUUAAAAUAUUUGUUUAGUGUGGGAUUUUUCGUCUCAACUUUCUGGAAACUAUGUUUUAAAAGCUACUUCAGCCAUCUAAGCUAAGGUGUGGUGACAACCUCUCAGAAUUGAUGUGGCUAGGCCUUGGCAUACUGCCACACGAGACCUGAUUUUCUUUACUUCUUCGUCUCACUCUCUUAAGGGAAGUAAAACUCAACUUUAUUUUCACCAUCAUGAAGAAGUACAGCAGCCAUCCAGCCCCGAUUUUGGGAAUAGCCUUACUUCAAAUUCUCUGACUAAUUACACAAACUAAUGAGAUGCUCUGGAAUUCUGUACAAUUCAAUGUUCUGUCUAGGUCUUCCCACCUGUCUGCCUCCCUGGAGGAGAAAUGGCACAGAAACAUCUUUUGUAAGAUGCCGUGUCCUGUUUGUUGAUUCUAAAACUAUGGUCAUUAAAUUUUACUGCGUGAAAUGAUUUGUCUUGGCUGGGGUUUCCCUGAGACACAGCGUGAGAGGGGCUGCUGCAGGUAGCUUAUGUGAGAAAUGAUGCCAGGGAGCAGAAGUCAGGAGCAGGGAGAGGAAGGCAGGGGAGGGAAGCAAGGAGCCCUAAGAAAUGGAUUUAGGAGCUGUCUGCUUUUCCCUGGAGGGGUGAAGACUUUUCCAUGAUUCCAUCUCCCAUUUGGCAAGGGCCCCUGUACUUCCAGAUUUCUCCUGUGUGAGCACCUAGAGGUCCUGGCAGACAUCAGAGAGGGCUGGGGUCAAGGUGCUGAGGAGCUGUACCUACAAAGAACUGGUCACAGCAGAGGCUGGAAUGAGAGUUGGGCUGAGGUUACAACCAGAUGAGGAAGAUUAGGGUGAGAAGUAGGCUCAGGCUAGAAUGAGGUGGGCUGAGGCUAGAAUGAAUUGUGGUAGUUCCCACAGAGAGGUUAGAUAUUUCCUUGGGGGAGGGGAAACAAAUGUCAGCAUACAUCUGUUUAAUUGAAAGCAUCUCACAGUUUUACCGACUUCAAUUUAUAUUGAUAGCUGAGUAAAGAAGAGAGUGUUGGCAUUAAUAGUGCUGCUUAGCAGCUCCCUCCCUGGCAUUCCAUUUCCAUGUGUUAAGGGUUUAGUGUGGAUCUGGCUGUGGCACUGGAAGCAGUGUGGGAUCCCAUGGGGAAUGCACAAUUCAGCAGUAACCGGUUUGAGGGCUGCAGGGUUUACCCUGAUGCUGAUGUCAAUUAUAGCAAAUUGUAGGUCCUUUUCGAUGUUCUCUUUAUCUUUUACUAUUUUUAAAAGCCAUUUAAGGAUUGUAUGUAAGCAAUGGAAUAUUAUUCAGCCAUAAAAAAGAAUAAAACCAGUUGAAUACAGGUUAACUUGUACAAGUUCCUGUGAUACAGUAUCACAUUUUCUUCAUCCAUUCAUCCACUGAGGAAUACCUAGGUUGAUUCCAAAUCUUGGCUAUCGUGAGUAAUGCUGCAAUGAACACGGGAGUGCAGAUAGCUCUUUGACAUGCUGAUUUCCUUUCCUUUGCAUAGAUACCCAGUAGUGGCAUUGCUGGAUCACAUUUUAAAUUUUUAUUGAAAUUUAAAAAUUGUUCUAUUUUUAAUUUUUUGAGGAACCUCCAUGCUAUUUUCCAUAAGGGCUGCACUAAUUUACAUUCCCACUGAUGGUGUAUGAGAGAGUUCCUUUUUUCUCUGCAUCCUUCCCAGCAUUUGUUACUUUUUGUCUUUCCGAUAAUAGCCAUUCUAACUGGGGUGAGACAGUAUAUGGUUGUGGUUUUGAUUUGCAUUUCCCUGAUUAAUGAUGUUGAGUAUUUUGUGAUAUAUCUGCUGGCUACUUGUAAAUCUUCUUUGGGGAAAUGUCUAUUCAGGCCCUUUGCCCAUUUUAAAAUUGGAUGAUGAUUAUUAUUAUUAUUAUUUUUGCUGUUGAGUUGUAUGAGUUCCUUAUGUAUUAUGACUAUUAAUCCCUUGUCAGGUGCAUAGUUUGCAAAUACUUUCUUCCAUUUUGUAGGUUGUCUCUUCACUGUGUUGAUUGUUUCCUUUGUUGUAUGGAAACUUUUUAGUUUGAUGUAAUCCCAUUUGUCUAUUUUUCCUUUUGUUGCCUGUGUUUUUGAAGUAUUUUCCAAAAAAUCUUUGCCUACUCCAGUGUCAUGAAUAAUUUUCCCUAUGUUGUUUUUCUAGUAGUUUCAUAGUUUCAUGUCUUACAUUUCAACUUUUUAUCCAUUUUGAGUUGACUUUUGUAUACGGUCAGAGAUAGGCAUCUAGUUUCAUUGUUCUGCAUAUAAAUAUCUAGUUUUUCCAGCAUCUUUUAUUGAAGAGACUGUCCUUUUCCCAGUAAGUGCUAUUGACACCUUUGUUGAAAAUCAGUUGGCUGUAAAUGCGGAGAUUUAUUUUUGGGCUGUCUACUUUGUUCUAUUAGUGUAUGAGUCUGUUUUUAUGCCAGUACCUUGCUGUUUUGGUUACUAUAGCUUUGUGGUCUCUUUUAAAGUCUUCUAUCUCUUUCCAGCAGUGUAGUCUUGUCAAGCUACUUCAUCUCCCAGUAGCUGUUUCCUCACUGGGAAAAUAAGAGUUGCAGGCAGGAUUAAAUUCAAUAUGAAUUUAAUUUCCUGAAAAAGUCUUCUUAGGACCAUUGCUCCAUAAAUAAUGAAGAUUUUAGAGAAUAAGAAUGUGAUUUAUGGGAGCCAUAUGUUGUUGGGUGCUGCAUCCUUGGCAGUUUUCUAUAUUUUUCCUGUGGGGAGGCUCAACAAGUCAAUGAAUUGUGACAUGCCCUCACCAGAGGCUGCUUCCAUGGUGUGUGUGGUUUGAGACUGAAGAUGCUCAGUCUAGGCCAAAUGUCUGAUCUAGCCAUUUUGCCAUUUCACAUCAGCAAAGGGUGUGUGUGUGUGUGUGUGUGUGUGUGUGUGUGUGUGUACAGUGAGGGCGAUGGGUGCAGAGCUUUUUCGACACUAACCCUUUCUGGCAGGAACCUUCCCACCUCAGUUGACGUGGCUCUUUCUCCUGUCUCUCUACCACUUUAGCUUCUAAUAUUUUUAGCUCUGAGGGCUGACCAUGGCAAUGAGCUUUUUCACCAGGCACAUGACAAGUGUGUGAGACCCUCAGGGGGUCUGAGUUUGUCCUUGGACCAGGCCAUCCUGCGAAGUCUCUGUCUUGUUCCUCCUGAUGGAAUCUGGCCUCACACACUUGGCCCCUGAAGAGGAGCUCGUGUCCAGAAUGUGUGAUGUGGGAGGGGGAUGAUUGUCCCACUCCUCUCCCCAGCAUCAAAUUGAGCCUCUGGGAAACUGUGACUUCAGCAGAAUUCCUUAAAGAAUGUUGGUGCCUCACUUCACGGUUAGGGUAGGGUGGAAGGAAAGAUAUUCUGGCAGCAGGCUCUUGAGUUCCUACUGGGUGGACAUGCUGUCUUAGCUGACAAGGGUAAUUAUUGUUCCCCAGGCCAUUGUGAUGGAGUUGAGAAUAGCAAACCUAGAUGAAAUGACUUGAGAUGCUUAGAAAGGAAUUUAGCAACAAGUGGAGAGUAAUAUAGUGAAGAUCAAGUGCUGAGUGUCUACCAGGAAAGAACCCAUCCAAGUCAGUUCCAAAUCCCUUUGCAGAGACUUCCUGAUUAGGUGACUUUUGAAAGGGUUUUGGAGAAACUUUUCUUCUACGGAAGUUCCUGGAGCUUUGACUCCAGGCCACAGCCAACACAUCCUGGUGCUGCAGGAUUACAAAAAUCACCCUCAAGGAGGAAACUGUAGACCUGGAUUUUUGGAAAAGAAGAGGUAGGCUGGUGUGAUUCUCUAUGACAUGCAAGUUGCACCCUGGAUUGCCUUUCUGUUCGUGAGCACUUCAUAUUUGCUGGCAAUUGGGCAACCAGUGCCAUCACCUCAUUCACUCCUGACAACAACUCAUGUAUACAUGGGUGCCACAGCCAAGCAAGGGUGGGCAAGCUGCCCAGAGUUAAGAGCAGAAUAGGGGUCCCGGUCCAGGGUGGUCUGACCACAGAAGCCCUGCUCCUUACACUGCAUUUGUUUCCUGCCUUGUAAGAAAUGACACAGCCCCAUCUAGGACAUGAAUGAGGAUCUGUUAGGCACCAGGCACCAUUCAGAGCCCUUGGUCAACAUUUUCCCACACAGUCGUUUGGGAAACCUAGUACAGUCCACUAGGUCGGUGCUGUUAUUGGCCUGGCUGUCAAGGAACAACAGGUAUAAAUAUAAAGCUAAUGGUAAGCAAGGUCCCUCCCGGUGCAGUGUGCCUCUCAGUCAGCUGCAUGCUCAGCCACGUUACCCAAGUUAUAUCCUGCUUGGAUGCCCAGAAAGGCUUGAUAAAAACAUGAUGUGUAGAGUCUGAGUGAAGUGUGUAUGUGAGUAUAUGUGUGCGCAUGUAUGUAUGUGAGUAUAUGUGUGCGCAUGUAUGUAUGUGCAUGUGUGUGCAUGUAUGUGUGUGCGCAUGUAUGUAUGUGAGUAUAUGUGUGCGCAUGUAUGUAUGUGAGUAUGUGUGCACAUGUAUGUAUGUGAGUAUAUGUGUGCGCAUGUAUGCAUGUGCAUGUGUGCGCAUGUAUGUAUGUGAGUAUAUGUGUGUGCAUGUAUGUAUGUGAGUAUAUGUGUGCGCAUGUAUGUAUGUGAGUAUAUGCGUGCGCAUGUAUGUAUGUGCAUGUGUGCUUACAUUUGCAUCACAUAUGUAUGUGUCUGUGUGCACAUAUGCACGUGUAUACAUGUGCCUGUGUAUGUGCACAUAAACAGUGUCUUUGAGGGCUUGGCAAUCUGUGUUGAUGUUAUUGAAGCUCUGCACCUGACUUCUGGUCACUUUUCUGUUACUGACCAGCUAAAUAACUUUGAGUAAGUCAUUGAACUUAUUUGGACACUAGUUCCAUCAACUGUUAGAUAUGAGGAUGGGAAUGGAUUGUCUCAAAGAUCCUUUUGAGUUCAAAAAGUCUAUGAUACCAGUGAGAAUGUUCCAAAGCCUUAAUGACACCUCACUGAAUGCAGCUUAAAAUGGCUGCAAGCUGACCAGACGAUUGCAUUCUCCAAGGUGAGCUGCCCUUCAUACCUCAUGCCCUUGAAUAAUGCAGCGUAAGUGUGUUUAUUGUGCCAGCUCUUCUUGUAGUUUUAUUCUAAUCCCUCGUCUCAGGCAACAUUUGUUUUGGCUGCAGUUCGAUACUUCCUCCUUCAGAGCUAUGCUUGGUUUUACCUCUAAUUCUGUGGCCCUCAGGGGCUGGUUGUACUGAUAAACUUUUACAAGUAAAAGGAGCUGUGGAGAUGACCUCCAGCUGGGGCUGAAGGCCUAUACAGCAGCACCUUCUUGCUGAAGCUAAGUGAUCCUCUUGGGGAGGAGGGUUGGGGGUCCAGGGCCCCUGAAGUCAGGAUUCCCCAGUGAGUUGGUCAAUGUGGACUUAGAUCUUGUUGAAAUAUCCAGAAGUAUUUCUAAGUAGAAUAUUUUUGAUCACAGAAACAAGGUAAAUAUUUUUGUCUUCCUUCAGUGGAGGACUUUGGAGCUCUCAGGUGGCUGCUCUCCAUCCCAGGCCUGGCUGUAGGAGGCUACCUGGGUGGGGUGCAGGCCCAUGCCUGGGGUCCUGGCUCCAGAGGCACCACAUGCCACUCAGUGAGGAUAAGAAUCCAUUCUGCAGCUUCUUUCAGCCCCACAUCAAUAAAUGGAGACAGUGGGAAGGGAGCUGUGCUACUUUGAAGGAUUUGGGGGCAGACUAAGAAGAAAACACAUGUGAAAGUGCUUUGUAAGGAUGAGUGCAUGGCGGGGCGACGAGGGGCGUUGGAGGCACAUGCAGCUGGGUAGGAGUUGCACUUUGGUCAUUGGCCAGUUAUGUGGCUUUGGGAACUGUUCAGACUUCUGGAUCUUGGCUUCCUUUUUUGUUAAGUAGGUGAUGAUAGGGAUCUCAUUGGGCUGCUGUGAGGAUGAGGUGUGUUUACAGUGCUUGGCAAAGAGUGGGGCUCCAUGCACAUAACUCCAUUUCCUCUACAUCUACAUUGCUCUGCAAACGAAGGGUGCUAUGACAAUAAACCCACCCCAAGGCCAAAGGAGGGGCGUGCUGGGGGUGGAGAGGGAUGGCUGGGAACUAACUAGCCGGCAUCAGCAAAGGAGGGAUUGUUUUGGUCUUUGUAGGAAAUUAGGAGGAUUGCCUUUCUCAUCUAUUACUUCCAAUGAGUUCUGAUGUUCUGGGGAAUCUUCUCUGAAUGAAUCCUGGUAUUGCUUCAUUUAUACUAUAACUCUGUAGUAUAACUAUAUCCUGUGUAAUCCAAGCCAAAGAUAGAGGGUUUGGGGACGACAGAUAUUUCAACAAUAGUCACUGAGGCAAGGAAUUGUGGAUUCUAGGAUGAGGCAGCAGGUGAAGGGCUUUGGUGCCCACACAGAGGAGAAGAGGGCAACUGGAGCGAGGAAAUGUCUUGCUGUCCUGCCGUUUAGCUCUGGAAGUGUCUCUUGGGACAAUCUUGGAGAAACGUCAACUGAAGUGCUAGUUUAGUAGCAGGGUAGCUGAGUCCUAGCAGUGUUUCGCAUUUCUCCAGUGAAAGCCCUAGAGGACUUGGAUGUCCCCAUCUCUAAAGACACCGGUGGCGGCAGAGGCCCAGCUUCUAAACACUCAGGGUCACACAGGCAUUGGUGCUUGGUAAACGUUUUCUUAUAUAAUUUCAAAGCCAUCUGUGACAUGGCUGUAUCAUCCCCAUUCUACUAGUGAGAAAACCAAUGCCAGGGGAUGGAAAAACAACUUCCUUAUGGUCACACUGCCAGUCAGUGCCUGGUGGGACCCAAGCUGGGCCCCAAUCCCCCAUGUCCCCCUUGGCACCUGUCCUGCUUUAGGGAAGAUGGUCUGUGGUCAAAGCUUAAUCUUUGCUUUGAUAAAGGAUUAAUUCAAAUUUUGGAAUGAAAAGAAGAGAUUUUGAAGCCCUAAAACUGUACUGUGUGACAAAACUCCUGUUCUUGGGAUAUGGUGGCAGAAGUAAGGGAAAGUGUCAGAAAAAGUCCCGCAAGGUGAGAAAAACUGAAAAAGAGACCCCUUUCCUAUAGAGGCUCACGAAGGGGAAAUUGCAACUGUGCGACCCUGUCUGCUAGCUUUCUCUGUCACUUCAUCCCCCAUUCCUGUUGCUGUGUGCACUUUUAUCCAACCCUCUUAAUGUCCAUGGCUGCGCUACCAGCAAAAUCUAACCCCAUCUGCUUGGCUAAGCUUCUUGCGCUCACCUAUACCUGAGGAGUACGACAUCAGGCUUCAGGGCUUAUUGAAGUCAUUACUCACAUCAUUGCACUAAUCACAAACAGAAGUGAAAGUUGUAAAUUGUAUAUAAUUACAUUUCAUAGAGAAAAAAGUAGAUUUAAAAAUGGCAAUUAAUAUUCUUAAUAGCCAAAAGUUAUUGCUAAUUAAUAAGAAAAACAUAAGCACUCCAAUUGAAAAAAAAUGAGCAAAGGUCAUAAAGACAUAAAACUCGCCUGUGGAAACAUACGUAGAGGAAACACAGAAUUAGUGAGUGUGUGUAUGGAAAUAAAUGGAAGGAUAAUGCUUGCUACCCAGUGUGGGCUUUGGGGGUAGAUCUACCUGGACUGAGUUCUGGAUUCACUAUUUACUAGCUCCAUGACCUUCAGCAAAGUAACCUCUCUAAGCCUUUGUUUUUAUCUGUAAAAUAGGGAUACUUAUUUUCCCUGCCUUGAGGGGUUAUUGUGAGGAUAAAAGAAAAUAAUUCUGUAAAGGGCUUAGUAAAGUGCCUGGUGCAGAGAAAUUUUUCAGUGCAGAUUAGCAAUUGUCACUGCUAGUAGUAUAUUUGCAUUGAUAACAAUUAGUAAUUUAACAUCUCACUGAAAUCAAAGAAAUGCAAUUAAAACAACAAAUACAUAUUAUUUGUUACUUAUCAGAUUGGAAAACAGGUGAAAAGAUUGACAGUAACCACUGUUGGUUAGAUGUGGAGAGAUGGGUUCUCUUGUGCAAUUCUGGGAUGGUAGGACCUGAUGCCCCAUUUCUGCAGGGCAAUUUGGCAAUAUACAUUAACGUUGAACAUUCUGAUAGUUUUUGACCCAGUCAUUCUUCUCUCAGAAACUUAUUCCUGGGAGAUAACUGAACAAAUGCACAAUAAUGAAUAUAUAAGAAUGUUUAUCCUGGCAUUUUUUUUUAUAGAAACAAAAAUUCAGAAGCAACUUAAACAUCCUUCAGUGAGAUUGACUAAUAAGUCCUGCUUCAUUUUUAUGACAGAAUGCUACUACUAAUAGCAGUGUUCUAGAUUUUCAUCCACCAUCAUGGAUAAAGCUCUCCGUCAUGUGGAUGGGUAAGAAAACAUGGAGUGGAAAAUGACAUCUAUACUGUGCCCAUGUAUGUGUAUCAAUCUUUUAGUUUAGUAAAAGACACAAGUUUGGGAAAAUGUGCUUUAAAUUGCUUACAUUGUCCUCUUCUUGGGAUCUAAUUUCGUUAUUUGAUUUUUAUGAGUGUCUGUUAUCUUUUUACUCAGAAAAAAAAGGAAAAGGAAAGUUUUUUUUUUUUUGUCCUUUAGCAGCAAAACCUUACACAAAGAUCUACACGUUGAUUUCGCUCCUAUGAACUGACUUGGAGUUAUGUUCCAAGAACGCAUCACCACAGCUUGCUUCCUUUUCUUUCUUCCUUGUUUGUUACUCAGAAGUGUUUCUUCAUUCUUUAGUCUAUGAUUCAUGCAAGAAGACAGAACCAAUGUUUUGCAAGACCUUCCCAUGAAGUAGAAAGAACAGUAGUGUUCACUCCAUAAGAGGCGUGCGCUACCACUUGCCUUGCCUCAUGGGCAAUGAGGAAGUUGCAUGGGUUUCCUACGGCUCUGCAGGGGUGGAGUGAGCCAGAAAGAACUGGUCAGCCCUAGACAUUCAGGUGCUAUCAAAUACCAGCCCUAGGGUCAAGAACACUUAAAAACAAAACAAACUUGAAACUUCCUUUGCUUGUGUUGCUUAGAAUCACUGCGGUAGGAGGAUUCCUGAGGCAUUACCUGGAUAGUCUCAUCUGGCUGGACAUGCAGGAGAACUGGGAGACUGCCGAGACUGCCACGUGGGGUGACUUGAGGGAUCUUUGACACUCUCUGUCUUAAUCUGUUUUGUGUUGCUAUAACAGAAUACACAGACUAAGUAAUUUAUAAAGAAAGGAAAUUUACUUCUCACAGUUUUGGAGGCUGAGAAGUCCAAGACUGAGGGGCUGGCAUCUGACGAGGGCCUUCUUGCUGCUUCAUUCCACGGCAAAAUGGCAAAGAGAAGAUGAGAAGAAAGGCUCAAAGGGACGGUGGGACUUGACUGAGGACCCAGCACCUCCUGGACCUGAAUCAAGGCCCUCUGUCCCGCUGCUUUUGUUGUUGUUUACCCUGCAACUUCACAGCCCUUCAGAAGGCCCUGGACAUCAUGUGCAAGCUCCGUGGAUGGCCUGAGAUUCAUCCUUCCAAGUUGUUUUCUGACUGAGAGGCAACAUUUUAAAUUGUGAUCCCCCCUUACCCCACCACACACACUGAAACAAAAGUUUCAAGAAGUCAUUACCACACAAUGACUCAGAUAUGUUCUAGUCUAGUCUGUCUAUUCCAUUCCAUUCCAGUCUCUUUCCAAACGAAAAUAAAAGGAAGGAAAUGCUGCAUGCGACUUGGUAAGUUAAUUUCAGGACACCUUGGGACUGCUUCCUGCUGCAUGAGGCAUCAGCACACAGCAGGGGAUAUUUUGCAUUCCUGUGUGCACCGUGGGUUAGACAGGCUGCUUGGCCCUAAGUGGAGAAUGGAACUCCAGUAGAAAGGCUGAGAUGCACUGCAAGUAACCACUGCAGAAAGGAGAGGAUGCCCACAGGCAGGCUGAAGUGGACCCGUGUGGAAGGAACACUUCAAGACCACUGGCCAAGAGACUUCCUUCAUUUUUAUCCCUUCCUGUUUUUCGCCUGUGCUGAGGAUUCACCACCAGUGUGGGGAGCCUCUGACUGUAAAAGGAAAGCUGACUCUGGCUCCUUCGUGUUUUCUGUUAAGUUGGGGCCUAAGUUUUUCUGCCAGCCUUUGCGGAGGAAAUGCAGCUUCCCUGGCACACUGCCCGGUCAAGGGACGUUGAAUCCAUUGCAAUCAGCAGUUGAAGAUCCACACUACAGGCCAUGUUCUUAAAAUAAGUGGCUCCAGGACUUCCAAGAGGCAGAAGGGGCUUCAGCUGGCCAUGGGCAGGAUCCAAGUGGAGCUUCAUCCCUGCAGAGCAAUGCCUGGCUCUCAGCGGAGGCAGUCUGGAGCAGGGCUUCUACCCUUUUCAGCUCAUAGAUUACUUUGGAAUCUGAUGAACACUGGGAGCCUUCUCCUUAGAAGAACAUACAUAUGCACGAGAAUGAGACAAUUACAUAACAUUCCUUGGGUUUCACAGAUGCUGAAGCCAAUGACUUGCUUGAAGCCUGGAAGAGGGUGUUGACCUGGAGAAUCCUAAAGGCCAAAAUUUAGAGAAAAUGGUGCCAGUAAAUGAAUUCACAAGGAGAAAUGCUUCCUUGCCAACUCACUUCUCCAGAUUAUUGAGUGCAUCUAUCUGUUUGCUUUUGGCUUCACGCAAUUGGCCCUCUUCAGUUCCGUACUCUUUCCUAAAUACCUUGCAAGUUUUCCUCUUCUCUCAUGCCAUUUAUAAUAUGCUGACGCCUGAUUAGAGGAAGGAAGGACUCAGCUGCACUUGCACUGGGGGAAGGGCCACUUACAGGAAGCCUACCUGGGGCUGAGCUGGGUCUCACUGCCUCCUAGACCUAAGGGCCCCAGCUUUUCCCUCAUCUCUUGUUGCAGCCACCACUUGUUCUAGAUCUGCAUCCAUAUCUGUAAAAUGGGGGUGAUAAUACCUUCCCAUAAAGUCACUGUGAGGAUUAAAUGUCCGGCACAAUAUUUGAUGCAUAGUGGUGCUGAAUAAUAUUUAUUGUCAUUACUAUCAUUAUUAUUGGCUGCUACCUUCAUUUUGAAAUUCUAUCCAUGAGCUACAUUAAUUAACCUGCAUUCAGUGUCAGGAUGUAUUUCUUAAUUUAGAUUUUUAAAUUUUUAGAGCAUGUGGCUAACCAUGAAUGUUGCAUUUUCUCAGUACCUAUUUAUUCAUAUGAAACUAUAGGUCUGGGCUCAGAGUUCAUCAAUAUUUAUAGAGAAGGCUCUACCUGUUGAGCACUGUGCUAGGCAUCCCCAGAGAUGCUGGCCUACUUCAUGCCUUAGGCAGCCCCACACGUGAGCAUUACUAACCCAUUGCUGCUAUGAGAGCAUUCAGAAAGAAAGCAGUUUAAGUUGCUUGACUAAACUGGUAGAGUUGAAAUUAAACUCUGUCUCUUCAUGUUACUGGACUGCUUGGAUAUCUACUUUCAGAAAGACUACAGCUUGAUAUAAACAUUGUAGUUUUGCUCAUGGAAAACUUACAGUAAAUCUGGGCUGUUUCAACACAACUGUCAAACUGUUCACCUACAGCUGUAUUUUCUCUUGCAAUGGGUGAAUAAGGUACAAUGAUGGUUGUACAGACCAUUACUAUUAUUACCUGUUAAUUUACAUUUAAACAGAUUUAUAAUUUCUGGCCCUGAUUUCCAGUCCAGUAUACAGCAAAAAUCCAUAUUUUAAACUAAAAAUAAUGUGCUUUUCAUAAAAUCAUAAAGAAACCCACCUGGCUAUUGUCUGGGGACUUGCGAGAAGGAUCCUUUGUAGUUUUCUUCCAUGUCUUCUAAGGAAUAGUUUGGAACACAUAGUAAAUAGUCAAUUAAUACCAAAGGGCAUUUGCAAAACUAUCAACUCCCAGUUUAUAUAAAGGACCAGCCACCAGAAUUAUACAUGAAUUAAAAAGUUAGCACACCAUAGUCAGAGAAGGACAACUUGGGAAUAGUUGUGUAACAGCCGUGAGGGUAAGCGAAGGGUCUGUCUACCUGUGCCUUCCCAGAAUACUGCCUCUCUUCUGGUCUGCUUUGGGAACAGUCAACAGGAAAGAAAAAGUAGACAGAUAGAGUCAGUGCGCUGAAUAAAAGAAGAUUCUAGAUCACUACAAGAGGCUUGUCAUUUGAGGCAAAGUGUCUGAGAGAGGAAGGUUUUUAUGGCCUCAAUGGGGAGACUGGUCACUGAUAAAGCGUUCUGGAUCUUUUGUGGGCCGGAAGAUAAGUUGAGUUUUGGUUAAUGUUUAAUGAUGCAGAACAAAAGUCAUAAAUAGUCCAUGAGAAAUAAGAGCACAAAUGAUUGGGAUUGGACAGUUUGCUUAUUCAGCUGCAAAAUGUGCUGUGUUCUAUUCUUGUCAUCCCCCCAUGGUAUAACAAAAUGCAGUGUGACAAGGAAUAUAAAUGUCCCCUAAUGCAUGGGCAGCUUUUUCUGUUCUAAGAGAGUCAGCAUGAGUCACUC
Molecule: long non-coding RNA, 19721 nt
Filed under: Homo sapiens (human)
Lineage: Eukaryota; Metazoa; Chordata; Mammalia; Primates; Hominidae
Description: long non-coding RNA NONHSAT208595.1
Source: RNAcentral